CUCAUCUUCACAGACUGGAAACCACAGGGAGAGGUCACCAGGGACCCAGGCUCCAUGUGACGAGCACCAGGGUGAGAAAGGACAGGCUAAUGAUGGCCAAGUCGGCACUCAGCCUGGCCACAGGGAAAGAGCUGGAGAACAUGAAGGGAAGAGAGAAGAAAAGGCAGUGGAAAGAGUUUUUCCCACCAUGGCAAAAAUAAUUGGGACUACAUCUGAGUAAACAGAUAAGACCAUUAGACUGGGAAAUGUUCUUAACCAGAGAUUGGACAAGGUCUCUGCACCCCUGCUGAACAGGGGCCUGCACACCUCCGCCACAGAUGAGGGAUACAGGGUUCUCCUUCUUUGUCUCCUGUUUCUGCUUUCCUCUCGGCUGGCUUCCUUCUCAGAUGGGCUCACCAAACGCUCUCAGAAGUUCUGGCUUUGCAACCACAAUGGAGAAAGUGCCCCCUCAUUUCCAGUAGGUUUAGAAAAAUUGGGAGACUGAUGCUCAUCGAAUAGUUUAGGUCACAACCACCAAGGAGCUAAGCCACUGAGUGGAACACGCUGACCAAUCAGUCCGUCCUUAGAAGUCACUGUGAAGAGGCAUCAGCCCCACCCAAAUCAUGAGCACAAAGGGACAGAAAGCAAAGGGACACCACCCAAAGGCACACUGGGGUAUUGUUCCCAGAAGAUGGAUGUUGGGCAGGUAACAAGAAGGAAUGUCUGCUAUAACCCUGUCUCCCUUCAAAGAAACUCUUGUUUCAAGUUAGUCUGAGAAGAUUCUGUUUCUCGUCACCAAAUAGUCCUUAACUAAACAUCUAGAAAAAUGUGCAGGAAAUGAAGAUGAAUAAGACAGAUUUCAGCUGUCAAAGACCUUACCUUUUUAUAAGGAAGAUAAACCCAAUGUACAUAAAUUGUACAUCACAAGUAAAAGCUUGUUUCAAAGGUACAAAGAAUCCCAGAAUUUCAAAGGCAAUGACACUAAGGUAAGCAAGAAGUUUCUUUUCGAUUUUUGUUUGGCUUGGGAUGUAGGGAAAGAAUGGCUAGGGUUUCAAAUAGACAGGGAGAGUAUUUCCAGUUAAAGAAAAUGGUGUAGAGGUGCCUGGGUGGCUCAGUUGGUUAAGCAUCUGACUUCGGCUCAGGUCAUGAUCUCACCGUUUGUAAGUUUGAGCUCCGCGUCGGGCUCUGUGCUGACAGCUCAGAGCCUGGAGCCUGCUUUGGAUUCUGCGUUUCUCUCU
This is a long non-coding RNA of Acinonyx jubatus (cheetah), 1217 nucleotides long. RefSeq lists it as uncharacterized. The record is from RefSeq and is a predicted model, not a curated record. NCBI's taxonomy places the organism in Eukaryota, Metazoa, Chordata, Mammalia, Carnivora, Felidae. The transcript is spliced from 3 exons.